CUACGGGACGCAGCAGUGAGGAAUAUUGCACAAUGGGGGGAACCCUGAUGCAGCAACGCCGCGUGGAGGAUGACGCAUUUCGGUGUGUAAACUCCUUUUAUAUGUCAAGAAAAUGACGGUAGCAUAUGAAUAAGCACCGGCUAACUCCGUGCCAGCAGCCGCGGUAAUGACGGAGGGUGGCAAGCGUUACUCGGAGUCACUGGGCGUAAAGGACGCGUAGGCGGGUUGGAAAGUCAGGUGUGAAAUCCUACAGCUUAACUGUAGAACUGCACUUGAAACUUCUAAUCUAGAGUAUGGGAGGGGGAGAUGGAAUUAGUGGUGGAGGGGUAAAAUCCGUAGAUAUCACUAGGAAUACCUAAAGCGAAGGCGAUCUCCUGGAACAUUACUGACGCUAAGGCGUGAAAGCGUGGGGAGCAAACAGGAUUAGAUACCCCCGUAGUC
This 441-nucleotide ribosomal RNA is filed under the name uncultured bacterium. RNAcentral describes it as "partial 16S ribosomal RNA". It matches the Rfam family "Bacterial small subunit ribosomal RNA", at positions 339 to 795 of the family's 1533-position model. The record is from RNAcentral.